CCUACGGGAGGCAGCAGUGGGGAAUAUUGCGCAAUGGGGGAAACCCUGAUGCAGCGACGCCGCGUGAGUGAAGAAGGAAUUCGUUACGUAAAGCUCUAUCGGCAGGGAAGUAACACUUACCGUACGGUGAGCAGACGGUACCUGAGUACGAAGCCCCAGCUGCCUACGUGCCAGCAGCCGAGGGAAUACGAAGGGGACAAGCGUUACCCGGAGUUACUGGGUGGAAAGGGAGCGUAGAUGGUGCGCCAACACAGGAGUGAAAUGCCGUAGCUUAACUGCGGGACUGCGUUGGAAACUGGUGGACUAGAGUGCGGGAGGGGUAAGCGGAAUUCCUGGUGUAGCGGUGAAAUGCGUAGAUAUUAGGAGGAACACCGGUGGCGAAGGCGGCUUACUGGACCGGAACUGACGUUGAGGCCCGAAAGCGUGGGGAGCAAACAGGAUUAGAUACCCGAGUAGUC
This 458-nucleotide ribosomal RNA is filed under the name uncultured bacterium. RNAcentral describes it as "partial 16S ribosomal RNA". It matches the Rfam family "Bacterial small subunit ribosomal RNA", at positions 338 to 795 of the family's 1533-position model. The record is from RNAcentral.